RNAcentral lists this ribosomal RNA (493 nucleotides) under uncultured bacterium. RNAcentral describes it as "partial 16S ribosomal RNA". It matches the Rfam family "Bacterial small subunit ribosomal RNA", at positions 29 to 523 of the family's 1533-position model. The record is from RNAcentral.
AUUGAACGCUGGCGGCAUGCUUUACACAUGCAAGUCGAACGGUAACAGGUUAAGCUGACGAGUGGCGAACGGGUGAGUAAUGCAUCGGAACGUGCCCGGUCGUGGGGGAUAACGCAGCGAAAGCUGCGCUAAUACCGCAUACGAUCUGAGGAUGAAAGCGGGGGACCGUAAGGCCUCGCGCGAUCGGAGCGUCCGAUGUCAGAUUAGGUAGUUGGUGGGGUAAAGGCUCACCAAGCCAACGAUCUGUAGCUGGUCUGAGAGGACGACCAGCCAAACGGGGACUGGGACACGGACCAGACUCCUACGGGAGGCAGCAGUGGGGAAUUUUGGACAAUGGGCGAAAGCCUGAUCCAGCAAUGCCGCGUGCAGGAAGAAGGCCUUCGGGUUGUAAACUGCUUUUGUACGGAGCGAAAAGGUCUCCUCUAAUACAGGGGGCUCAUGACGGUACCGUAAGAAUAAGCACCGGCUAACUACGUGCCAGCCGCCGCAGUAA